Molecule: unclassified non-coding RNA, 24 nt
Filed under: Mus musculus (house mouse)
Lineage: Eukaryota; Metazoa; Chordata; Mammalia; Rodentia; Muridae
Description: oocyte_clustered_small_RNA1326
Source: RNAcentral
UGAUGUCUGCUGCUGAUGCUCAGG